RNAcentral lists this ribosomal RNA (449 nucleotides) under uncultured bacterium. Its description in RNAcentral is "partial 16S ribosomal RNA". It matches the Rfam family "Bacterial small subunit ribosomal RNA", at positions 29 to 523 of the family's 1533-position model. The record is from RNAcentral.
AGCGAACGCUGGCGGCAGGCCUAACACAUGCAAGUCGAACGAACUCUUCGGAGUUAGUGGCGGACGGGUGAGUAACACGUGGGAACGUGCCUUUAGGUUCGGAAUAACUCAGGGAAACUUGUGCUAAUACCGAAUGUGCCCUUCGGGGGAAAGAUUUAUCGCCCUUAGAGCGGCCCGCGUCUGAUUAGCUUGUUGGUGGGGUAAUGGCCCACCAAGGCGACGAUCAGUAGCUGGUCUGAGAGGAUGACCAGCCACAUUGGGACUGAGACACGGCCCAAGCUCCUACGGGAGGCAGCAGUGGGGAAUCUUGCGCAAUGGGCGAAAGCCUGACGCAGCCAUGCCGCGUGGAUGAUGAAGGUCUUAGGAUUGUAAAAUCCUUUCACCGGUGAAGAUAAUGACUGUAGCCGGAGAAGAAGCCCCGGCUAACUUCGUGCCAGCCGCCGCCGUAA